AUACGGGGGGAGCAAGCGUUGUCCUGAAUCAUUGGGCGUAAAGGGCACGUAGGCGGUUUCUUAAGUCGAAUGUGAAAUCUCACGGCUCAACCGUGAAACUGCGUUCGAAACUAAGUGACUUGAGUUUGGGAGAGGUGUACGGAAUUCCUGGUGUAGCGGUGGAAUGCGUAGAUAUCAGGAAGAACACCAAUGGCGAAGGCAGUACACUGGCCUGAAACUGACGCUGAGGUGCGAAAGCGUGGGUAGCAAACGGGAUUAGAAACCCCAGUAGUCC
Molecule: ribosomal RNA, 274 nt
Filed under: uncultured bacterium
Lineage: Bacteria
Description: partial 16S ribosomal RNA
Rfam family: Bacterial small subunit ribosomal RNA
Source: RNAcentral